CCCUACGGGGCGCAGCAGUAGGGAAUCUUCCACAAUGGACGAAAGUCUGAUGGAGCAACGCCGCGUGAGUGAAGAAGGGUUUCGGCUCGUAAAGCUCUGUUGGUAGUGAAGAAAGAUAGAGGUAGUAACUGGCCUUUAUUUUACGGUAAUUACUUUGAAAGUCACGGCUAACUACGUGCCCGCCGCCGCGGUAAUACGUAGGUGGCAAGCGUUUUCCGGAUUUAUUUGGCGUAAAGCGAGUGCAGGCGGUUUAAUAAAUCU
This 261-nucleotide ribosomal RNA is filed under the name uncultured bacterium. Its description in RNAcentral is "partial 16S ribosomal RNA". It matches the Rfam family "Bacterial small subunit ribosomal RNA", at positions 337 to 590 of the family's 1533-position model. The record is from RNAcentral.